UCCAGACUCCUACGGGAGGCAGCAGUGGGGAAUAUUGCACAAUGGGGGAAACCCUGAUGCAGCAACGCCGCGUGAGUGAAGAAGUAUUUCGGUAUGUAAAGCUCUAUCAGCAGGGAAGAAGAUGACGGUACCUGAGUAAGAAGCCCCGGCUAACUACGUGCCAGCAGCCGCGGUAAUACGUAGGGGGCAAGCGUUAUCCGGAUUUACUGGGUGUAAAGGGAGCGUAGACGGUGAGACAAGUCUGAAGUGAAAGCCCGGGGCUCACCCCCGGGACUGCUUUGGAAACUGCGGCGCUGGAGUACGGGAGGGGCAGGCGGAAUUCCUGGUGUAGCGGUGAAAUGCGUAGAUAUCAGGAGG
RNAcentral lists this ribosomal RNA (357 nucleotides) under uncultured bacterium. Its description in RNAcentral is "partial 16S ribosomal RNA". It matches the Rfam family "Bacterial small subunit ribosomal RNA", at positions 330 to 704 of the family's 1533-position model. The record is from RNAcentral.